AUUGAACGCUGGCGGCAGGCCUAACACAUGCAAGUCGAGCGGAUGAAGGGAGCUUGCUCCUGGAUUCAGCGGCGGACGGGUGAGUAAUGCCUAGGAAUCUGCCUGGUAGUGGGGGAUAACGUCCGGGAACGGGCGCUAAUACCGCAUACGUCCUGAGGGAGAAAGUGGGGGAUCUUCGGACCUCAUGCUAUCAGAUGAGCCUAGGUCGGAUUAGCUAGUUGGUGGGGUAAAGGCCUACCAAGGCGACGAUCCGUAACUGGUCUGAGAGGAUGAUCAGUCACACUGGAACUGAGACACGGUCCAGACUCCUACGGGAGGCAGCAGUGGGGAAUAUUGGACAAUGGGCGAAAGCCUGAUCCAGCCAUGCCGCGUGUGUGAAGAAGGUCUUCGGAUUGUAAAGCACUUUAAGUUGGGAGGAAGGGCAGUAAGUUAAUACCUUGCUGUUUUGACGUUACCAACAGAAUAAGCACCGGCUAACUUCGUG
This 484-nucleotide ribosomal RNA is filed under the name uncultured bacterium. RNAcentral's name for it is "partial 16S ribosomal RNA". It matches the Rfam family "Bacterial small subunit ribosomal RNA", at positions 30 to 507 of the family's 1533-position model. The record is from RNAcentral.